GACGAACGCUGGCGGCGUGCUUAACACAUGCAAGUCGAGCGGUAAGGCCCUUUCGGGGGUACACGAGCGGCAAACGGGUGAGUAACACGUGGGUGACCUGCCCUCAGCUCUGGGAUAAGCCUGGGAAACCGGGUCCAAUACCGGAUAUGACUCCAUGACGCAUGUUGUGGGGUGGAAAGCCUUGUGCGGCUGAGGAUGGGCCCGCGGCCUAUCAGCUUGUUGGUGGGGUGAUGGCCUACCAAGGCGACGACGGGUAGCCGGCCUGAGAGGGCGACCGGCCACACUGGGACUGAGACACGGCCCAGACUCCUACGGGAGGCAGCAGUGGGGAAUCUUGCGCAAUGGGCGAAAGCCUGACGCAGCGACGCCGCGUGAGGGAUGACGGCCU
Molecule: ribosomal RNA, 388 nt
Filed under: uncultured bacterium
Lineage: Bacteria
Description: bacterial SSU rRNA
Rfam family: Bacterial small subunit ribosomal RNA
Source: RNAcentral